RNAcentral lists this long non-coding RNA (526 nucleotides) under Homo sapiens (human). Its description in RNAcentral is "long independently transcribed non-coding RNA 2398 (LINC02398)". Lineage: Eukaryota; Metazoa; Chordata; Mammalia; Primates; Hominidae. The record is from RNAcentral.
GUGAGAAAUUAAAUUUCAAAAUGUAAUUAUUAAAUGUAUGCCUGACUUUCAAAUGUUUUUCUAUAUCCAGCUAAUUAAAAAUAUUUAUAACGUAGUAGUAGUUAAAUGUCAUGUUCGCCUUAUUAGAAAGAAUGCCUUCAAAUCAGUAUUAUCAUGAUUACCAUUUAUUUAACAUCUUCAGUAUGCAGGGCAUUUAUAAAAUCUGUAGAAAUUAAUUUUCUCUAAAUGCAACAAGCUUUAUGACCAGCACUCACUGUCUAUAAAAGAUGACUUGCUUGGCAGAAGAGGAAACAGUUUCUUCAGACCUUCCAGCCACAGUCAGCCCUGGUGACAUUGCAUAUCAGCUUCUAAAGGGCCUCGCACAUUCCUUGGCUUGUGAUGUCCCUUCCCCAUCAUCAAAGACAGCAACGAAACUUCAGGCUACCAUACCUGCUUCAACUGUAGGAGAAUCUUAGUUCUGGAGAGUUGACCCUCCAGGCGAAGCAUUAGGCUUUGAUACAAUUUGUCUGGUACCGGCUGUAGAUCU